AACGCAGCGAAGGGCGAUAAGUAAUGUGAAUUGCAGAAUUCAGUGAAUCAUCGAAUCUUUGAACGCACAUUGCGCCCGCCAGCAUUCUGGCGGGGCAUGCCUGUUCGAGCGUCAUUUCAACCCUCGAGCUCCCUUUGGGGAGCCCGGCGUUGGGGACCGGCAGCUACCGCCGACCCCGAAAUACAAUGGCGGCCCGUCACGGCGACCUCUGCGUAGUAAUCCAACCUCGCACCGGGAACCCGACGCGGCCACGCCGUAAAACACCCCAAUUCUGAACGUUGACCUCGGAUCAGGUAGGAAUACCCGCUGAACUUAA
Molecule: ribosomal RNA, 316 nt
Filed under: uncultured fungus
Lineage: Eukaryota; Fungi
Description: eukaryotic LSU rRNA
Rfam family: 5.8S ribosomal RNA (bases 1-114)
Source: RNAcentral